GUGUGCUUCAGCAACACAUAUACUAAAAUUGCAAAGAUACAGAGAAGAUGAGCAUCGCCCCAACACAAGAGUGACAGGCAAAUUUAUGUAUGAAACCUUCCAUAAUUUU
Trichosurus vulpecula (common brushtail) is the source of this 109-nucleotide small nuclear RNA. The record is from RefSeq and is a predicted model, not a curated record. NCBI's taxonomy places the organism in Eukaryota, Metazoa, Chordata, Mammalia, Diprotodontia, Phalangeridae.